UGUCACGGAAACAAAAUCUUUUAAUUUAACUAUCGUUGAUAUCUUUAUUUGAUUUAUUCUUCCACUUUUUUGUCAGCCUUAAUUCGAAGAGACAACAAAACCGAACUUAAUAAAAAAAUUGAAAUAACCUCCAUGAGAUAAUGGGCAUCUAGUUUAUCUUUUUUAAAUCGGUCACAGUUGCCAUGGAAACAGUAACAUUGUGAAACUGAAAUACGUUCAAACUGUAAUGACACUUAACAGAAACGUGACAUGUCAUGAAUAAAAUCAUGUGCAGUUUAAGGGCUUGAAAGUUUCGAAAUAGCUGCUGUUACCAUAUGACCGAAAUGGCAUCUGCUAUUGCUUGCAAUUGCACAUUUAAUUGCUAUUCCUAUCUUUUAUAAUCAAUAAAUAUUUCAAUAACACCUUAUACUCUUUUGAACGUAUCUUUUGACCGAAUGUUCAGUGGGUAUCUAUGAUGAGUUUAUGUAUAUUCAAAUAAAAUGUUG
Molecule: long non-coding RNA, 485 nt
Filed under: Mytilus galloprovincialis (Mediterranean mussel)
Lineage: Eukaryota; Metazoa; Mollusca; Bivalvia; Mytilida; Mytilidae
Source: RNAcentral